AAAUAGAGGCGCGGCUUUCAAAAGUAGCGGGAUGGAGGUUGCCAAAACCGACGAAGUCUUGUAAAAGGGUGAGCUGCCGAAGGGGAAUAUCGGGCGAAUAUUUUCCUGGUUGCAACAGCAAACAGCUUUGCGACUGUCAUCACUUGUGAUGGAGUGCUAUUG
Molecule: non-coding RNA, 162 nt
Filed under: uncultured Acutalibacter sp.
Lineage: Bacteria; Bacillati; Bacillota; Clostridia; Eubacteriales; Acutalibacteraceae
Description: Lysine riboswitch
Rfam family: Lysine riboswitch aptamer
About the family: Riboswitches are metabolite binding domains within certain messenger RNAs that serve as precision sensors for their corresponding targets. Allosteric rearrangement of mRNA structure is mediated by ligand binding, and this results in modulation of gene expression.
Source: RNAcentral